RNAcentral lists this ribosomal RNA (433 nucleotides) under uncultured bacterium. Its description in RNAcentral is "partial 16S ribosomal RNA". It matches the Rfam family "Bacterial small subunit ribosomal RNA", at positions 29 to 507 of the family's 1533-position model. The record is from RNAcentral.
AACGAACGCUGGCGGCAUGCCUAACACAUGCAAGUCGAACGAGACCUUCGGGUCUAGUGGCGCACGGGUGCGUAACGCGUGGGAACCUGCCCUUAGGUUCGGAAUAACUCCCCGAAAGGGGUGCUAAUACCGGAGAAUGUCUUCGGACCAAAGAGUUAUCGCCUUUGGCUGGGCCCGCGUUGGAUUAGCUAGUUGGUAGGGUAAAAGCCUACCAAGGCGACGAUCCAUAGCUGGUCUGAGAGGAUGAUCAGCCACACUGGGACUGAGACACGGCCCAGACUCCUACGGGAGGCAGCAGUGGGGAAUAUUGGACAAUGGGCGAAAGCCUGAUCCAGCAAUGCCGCGUGAGUGAUGAAGGCCUUAGGGUUGUAAAGCUCUUUUACCCGGGAUGAUAAUGACAGUACCGGGAGAAUAAGCUCCGGCUAACUCCGUG